CCCAACAUGGCUCUCCCAAAAUAUCAACAGCUCCCCAAAAACCCAACAUGGCUCCCCCAAAACCCAACAUGGCUCCCCCAAAACACCAAGAGCUCCCCCAAAAUCCAACAUGGCUCCCACCAAAACACAACAUGGCUCCCCCAAAAUACCAGGAGUUCCCCCAAAACACAACAUGGUUCCCCCAAAACACCAAGAGCCCCCACAAAACCCAACAUGGCUCCAUCAAAACAGCAUGAGCUCCCCCAAAACCCAACGUGGUUCCCCCAAAACCCAACAUGGCUCCCCAAAACACCAAGAGCUCCCCCAAAACCCAACAUGGUUCCCACAAAACCCCACAUGGUUCCCCAAAGCGCCAAGAGUUCCCCCAAAACCCAACAUGGUUCCCCCAAAAUACCAAGAGCUCCCCCAAAACGCCAACAUGGUUCCCCCAAAAUACCAAGAGCUCCCAAAAAACCCAACAUGGUUCCCCCAAAACCCAACAUGGUUCCCCCAAAACACCAAGAGUUCCCCCAAAACGCCAACACAUUUCCCAUAAUCCAACAUGGCUCCCCCAAAACCCAACAUGGUUCCCCAAAACGCCAAGAGUUCCCCCAAAAUCCAACAUGGCUCCCCAAAACACCAAGAGUUCCCCCAAGAUCCAACAUGGCUCCCCCAAAACCCAACAUGGCUCCCCCAAAAUAUCAACAGCUCCCCAAAAACCCAACAUGGCUCCCCCAAAACCCAACAUGGCUCCCCAAAACACCAAGAGCUCCCCCAAAAUCCAACAUGGCUCCCACCAAAACACAACAUGGUUCCCCCAAAACCCAACAUGGCUCCCACAAAACCCAAUGUGGUUCCCCCAAAACCCAACGUGGUUCCCCCAAAACACCAAGAGCUCCCAAAAAACCUAACAUGGUUCCCCCAAAACCCAACAUGGUUCCCCCAAAACACCAAGAGUUCCCCCAAAACCCAACAUGGUUCCCUAAAAAGCCAAGAGUUUCCCCCAAAACAGCCGCGUUUCCCCCUAAAACACAGCACAUCUGGCCCAAAAG
This 1031-nucleotide long non-coding RNA is filed under the name Numida meleagris (helmeted guineafowl). RNAcentral's name for it is "lncRNA (ENSNMEG00000001117.1)". The record is from RNAcentral. Lineage: Eukaryota; Metazoa; Chordata; Aves; Galliformes; Numididae.